Long non-coding RNA from Canis lupus familiaris (dog), 376 nucleotides. RefSeq lists it as uncharacterized. The transcript is spliced from 2 exons. The record is from RefSeq and is a predicted model, not a curated record. NCBI's taxonomy places the organism in Eukaryota, Metazoa, Chordata, Mammalia, Carnivora, Canidae.
UCUGAGCCUAGGUGUACCAUCCAGGCAGAGGGCUCAGCAGAACCACCAGGGCAUGGAACCACCUGGCUGCUGGAGACUGGAAGCCUCUGAUGGGAUAGGCGGAGCUUCAGUUGCUGCAGCCAAUGGAGAUGGCAUUUGGUGGGACUGAAGAGUCUGUACCCCUUAGGCUGUGGACCAGAAGUCCACACCAUCCUUAACACCCAGUUCUUGGAUACCUGCUCCUGCAUGUCAUUCUCUACCUGCAAUUAUGAGAUGUGGACGGUGCCACCACUAACACCCCAUUCUACGAGCUGUUGAAAACUAUGCCACACACCAUCCCAUACAUUUCCCUCUUCUUGCCUCAAUGCAAAUAAAGAAAAAUAAUCUACGGCACUGA